RNAcentral lists this long non-coding RNA (225 nucleotides) under Elaeis guineensis (African oil palm). Its description in RNAcentral is "long non-coding RNA (EGUI_LNC063642)". The record is from RNAcentral. Lineage: Eukaryota; Viridiplantae; Streptophyta; Magnoliopsida; Arecales; Arecaceae.
GAUAUAUUAUGGUCUCCAUCAUAAUAUCAUCGAAACUCUUUUCGAUGGAUGGGAACAUUUUCAAUUCUAUCUUCGAGGGCCAUCGAUCAUCAAGAUGACGUCCAAUGAGUCUCACAAUCCAUCAGUAAUACCUAGUAGUAUGUAGUGGCAGCUCAGUAGAAUGAAAAUAUUGAACUCUUAGAUACAGUUAUCGUAUGAUUCAAUUUUUCUAUCGUGAGUUCCGAC